CGUGAGAUGUUGGGUUAAGUCCCGGCAACGAGCGCAACCCUCGUCCUUAGUUGCCAGCAUUCAUUGGGCACUCUAAGGAGACUGCCGGUGUUAAACCGGAGGAAGGCGGGGAGUGACGUCAAGUCCUCAUGGCCCUUAUGUCCAGGGCUACACACGUGCUACAAUGGCCGGUACAAAGGGUAGCAAGACCGCGAGGUGGAGCCAAUCCCAAAAAGCCGGUCUCAGUUCGGAUUGGAGUCUGCAACUCGACUCCAUGAAGUUGGAAUCGCUAGUAAUCGUGGAUCAGCAUGCCACGGUGAAUACGUUCCCGGGCCUU
This 316-nucleotide ribosomal RNA is filed under the name uncultured Desulfuromonas sp. Its description in RNAcentral is "bacterial SSU rRNA". It matches the Rfam family "Bacterial small subunit ribosomal RNA", at positions 1066 to 1382 of the family's 1533-position model. The record is from RNAcentral. Lineage: Bacteria; Pseudomonadati; Thermodesulfobacteriota; Desulfuromonadia; Desulfuromonadales; Desulfuromonadaceae.